Molecule: ribosomal RNA, 374 nt
Filed under: uncultured bacterium
Lineage: Bacteria
Description: bacterial SSU rRNA
Rfam family: Bacterial small subunit ribosomal RNA
Source: RNAcentral
ACGUAGGGUGCAAGCGUUGUCCGGAUUUAUUGGGCGUAAAGAGCUCGUAGGCGGUCAGUCGCGUCGAUCGUGAAAGCCCGAGGCUCAACCUCGGAAUUGCGGUCGAUACGGGCUGACUAGAGUUCGGUAGGGGAGACUGGAAUUCCUGGUGUAGCGGUGAAAUGCGCAGAUAUCAGGAGGAACACCGGUGGCGAAGGCGGGUCUCUGGGCCGAUACUGACGCUGAGGAGCGAAAGCGUGGGGAGCAAACAGGAUUAGAUACCCUGGUAGUCCACGCCGUAAACGUUGGGCGCUAGGUGUGGGCUCCAUUCCACGGAGUCUGUGCCGCAGCUAACGCAUUAAGCGCCCCGCCUGGGGAGUACGGCCGCAAGGCUA